UAUGUAGCUCAGUUGGUAGAGCAACGGACUUUUAAUCUGUAGGUCCUAGGUUCAAGCCCUAGUAUA
Molecule: transfer RNA, 66 nt
Filed under: marine eukaryotic metagenome
Rfam family: tRNA
About the family: Transfer RNA (tRNA) molecules are approximately 80 nucleotides in length. Their secondary structure includes four short double-helical elements and three loops (D, anti-codon, and T loops). Further hydrogen bonds mediate the characteristic L-shaped molecular structure. tRNAs have two regions of fundamental functional importance: the anti-codon, which is responsible for specific mRNA codon recognition, and the 3' end, to which the tRNAs corresponding amino acid is attached (by aminoacyl-tRNA synthetases). tRNAs cope with the degeneracy of the genetic code in two manners: having more than one tRNA (with a specific anti-codon) for a particular amino acid; and 'wobble' base-pairing, i.e. permitting non-standard base-pairing at the 3rd anti-codon position.
Source: RNAcentral